UACAGAGGGGGCAAGCGUUGUUCGGAAUUACUGGGCGUAAAGGGCGCGUAGGCGGCCUGCUAAGUCAUACGUGAAAUCCCUCGGCUCAACCGGGGAACUGCGUGUGAUACUGGCGGGCUUGAAUUCGGGAGAGGGAUGCGGAAUUCCAGGUGUAGCGGUGAAAUGCGUAGAUAUCUGGAGGAACACCGGUGGCGAAGGCGGCAUCCUGGACCGAGAUUGACGCUGAGGCGCGAAAGCCAGGGGAGCAAACGGG
Molecule: ribosomal RNA, 253 nt
Filed under: uncultured bacterium
Lineage: Bacteria
Description: partial 16S ribosomal RNA
Rfam family: Bacterial small subunit ribosomal RNA
Source: RNAcentral